Molecule: ribosomal RNA, 765 nt
Filed under: uncultured Streptococcus sp.
Lineage: Bacteria; Bacillati; Bacillota; Bacilli; Lactobacillales; Streptococcaceae
Description: bacterial SSU rRNA
Rfam family: Bacterial small subunit ribosomal RNA
Source: RNAcentral
GAUGAACGCUGGCGGCGUGCCUAAUACAUGCAAGUAGAACGCUGAAGGAAGGAGCUUGCUCUUUCCGGAUGAGUUGCGAACGGGUGAGUAACGCGUAGGUAACCUGCCUGGUAGCGGGGGAUAACUAUUGGAAACGAUAGCUAAUACCGCAUAACAGUAGAUAUUGCAUGAUAUCUGCUUGAAAGGUGCAAUUGCACCACUACCAGAUGGACCUGCGUUGUAUUAGCUAGUUGGUGAGGUAACGGCUCACCAAGGCGACGAUACAUAGCCGACCUGAGAGGGUGAUCGGCCACACUGGGACUGAGACACGGCCCAGACUCCUACGGGAGGCAGCAGUAGGGAAUCUUCGGCAAUGGACGGAAGUCUGACCGAGCAACGCCGCGUGAGUGAAGAAGGUUUUCGGAUCGUAAAGCUCUGUUGUAAGAGAAGAACGAGUGUGAGAGUGGAAAGUUCACACUGUGACGGUAUCUUACCAGAAAGGGACGGCUAACUACGUGCCAGCAGCCGCGGUAAUACGUAGGUCCCGAGCGUUAUCCGGAUUUAUUGGGCGUAAAGCGAGCGCAGGCGGUUAGAUAAGUCUGAAGUUAAAGGCUGUGGCUUAACCAUAGUACGCUUUGGAAACUGUUUAACUUGAGUGCAAGAGGGGAGAGUGGAAUUCCAUGUGUAGCGGUGAAAUGCGUAGAUAUAUGGAGGAACACCGGUGGCGAAAGCGGCUCUCUGGCUUGUAACUGACGCUGAGGCUCGAAAGCGUGGGGAGCAAACAGG